Molecule: ribosomal RNA, 305 nt
Filed under: uncultured bacterium
Lineage: Bacteria
Description: partial 16S ribosomal RNA
Rfam family: Bacterial small subunit ribosomal RNA
Source: RNAcentral
ACAGCAGUCGCCGCGGUAAUACGAAGGGGGCUAGCGUUGCUCGGAAUGACUGGGCAUAAAGGGCGCGUAGGCGGCAUGUACAGUCAGACGUGAAAUUCCUGGGCUUAACCUGGGGGCUGCGUUUGAUACGUGCAGGCUAGAGUGGGGAAGAGGGUUGUGGAAUUCCCAGUGUAGAGGUGGAAUUCGUAGAUAUUGGGAAGAACACCGGUGGCGAAGGCGGCAACCUGGUCCUUGACUGACGCUGAGGCGCGAAAGCGUGGGGAGCAAACAGGAUUAGAUACCCGUGUAGUCCCUGUCUCUUAUAC